AUGGGAUGAGAUACUAGAUGACGAGUCUGAGCUCGUGUGUGAGAGUUUCUCUCGUAUGCGCCGUUGACGACUCUUUUCUAAAAUACCAUUCAUGCUUUCCUGAUU
RNAcentral lists this small nucleolar RNA (105 nucleotides) under Rhizoctonia solani AG-1 IA. Lineage: Eukaryota; Fungi; Basidiomycota; Agaricomycetes; Cantharellales; Ceratobasidiaceae. The record is from RNAcentral.